This 253-nucleotide ribosomal RNA is filed under the name uncultured bacterium. RNAcentral's name for it is "partial 16S ribosomal RNA". It matches the Rfam family "Bacterial small subunit ribosomal RNA", at positions 524 to 776 of the family's 1533-position model. The record is from RNAcentral.
UACGGAGGGUGCAAGCGUUAUCCGGAUUCACUGGGUUUAAAGGGUGCGCAGGCGGCUAUGUAAGUCAGUGGUGAAAUCUCCGGGCUUAACCCGGAAACUGCCGUUGAUACUAUAUAUCUUGAAUGCUGUGGAGGUAAGCAGAAUAUGUCAUGUAGCGGUGAAAUGCUUAGAUAUGACAUAGAAUACCUAUUGCGAAGGCAGCUUACUACGCAGAUAUUGACGCUUAUGCACGAAAGCGUGGGGAUCAAACAGG